AGCAGCCGCGGUAAUUCCAGCUCCAAUAGCGUAUAUUAAAGUUGUUGCAGUUAAAAAGCUCGUAGUUGAAUUUCGGGGUUAGUAGGUUGGUCGUGCCAAUGGUAUGCACUGGCCUCACUGAUUCCUCCUUCUUGAUGAACCUUAAUGCCAUUAAUUUGGUGUUUUGGGGAAUCUGGACUGUUACUUUGAAAAAAUUAGAGUGUUUAAAGCAAGCUAACGCUUGAAUACAUUAGCAUGGAAUAAUGAAAUAGGACGUUCGGUCUUAUUUUGUUGAUUUCUAAGAUUGACGUAAUGAUUAAUAGGGAUAGUUGGGGGCAUUAGUAUUCAAUUGUCAGAGGUGAAAUUCUUGGAUUUAUUGAAGACUAACUACUGCGAAAGCAUUUGCCAAGGAUGUUUUCAUUAAUCAAGAACGAAAGUUAGGGGAUCGAAGACGAUCAGAUACCGUCGUAGUCUUAACCAUAAACUAUGCCGACUAGGGAUCGGAUGAUGUUAAUUUUUUAAUGACUCA
This 508-nucleotide ribosomal RNA is filed under the name Glomus sp. PSAMG3. Its description in RNAcentral is "SSU rRNA". It matches the Rfam family "Eukaryotic small subunit ribosomal RNA", at positions 569 to 1078 of the family's 1831-position model. Lineage: Eukaryota; Fungi; Glomeromycota; Glomeromycetes; Glomerales; Glomeraceae. The record is from RNAcentral.